UACGGGGGGGGCAAGCGUUGUUCGGAAUUACUGGGCGUAAAGGGCUCGUAGGCGGCCAACUAAGUCAGACGUGAAAUCCCUAGGCUCAACCUAGGAACUGCGUCUGAUACUGGAUGGCUUGAAUCCGGGAGAGGGAUGCAGAAUUCCAGGUGUAGCGGUGAAAUGCGUAGAUAUCUGGAGGAAUACCGGUGGCGAAGGCGGCAUCCUGGACCGGCAUUGACGCUGAGGAGCGAAAGCUAGGGGAGCAAACGGGG
This 254-nucleotide ribosomal RNA is filed under the name uncultured bacterium. Its description in RNAcentral is "partial 16S ribosomal RNA". It matches the Rfam family "Bacterial small subunit ribosomal RNA", at positions 524 to 777 of the family's 1533-position model. The record is from RNAcentral.